Molecule: ribosomal RNA, 827 nt
Filed under: uncultured Bacillota bacterium
Lineage: Bacteria; Bacillati; Bacillota
Description: bacterial SSU rRNA
Rfam family: Bacterial small subunit ribosomal RNA
Source: RNAcentral
GCAAGUCGAACGCGAAAGGGGCUUCGGCCCUGAGUAGAGUGGCGAACGGGUGAGUAACACGUGGGUGACCUACCUUCGAGUGGGGGAUAACGUCCCGAAAGGGACGCUAAUACCGCAUGACAUCCUGCUUUUGAAGAGGCGGAGAUCAAAGCCGGGGAUCGCAAGACCUGGCGCUUGAAGAGGGGCUCGCGUCCGAUUAGCUAGUUGGUGAGGUAACGGCUCACCAAGGCGACGAUCGGUAGCCGGCCUGAGAGGGCGGACGGCCACACUGGGACUGAGACGCGGCCCAGACUCCUACGGGAGGCAGCAGUGGGGAAUUGUUCGCAAUGGGCGCAAGCCUGACGACGCAACGCCGCGUGGAGGAUGAAGGUCUUCGGAUUGUAAACUCCUGUUGCCCGGGACGAAUGGCUCUGACCUAACACGUCAGAGUGUGACGGUACCGGGUGAGGAAGCCCCGGCUAACUCUGUGCCAGCAGCCGCGGUAAUACAGAGGGGGCAAGCGUUGUUCGGAAUUACUGGGCGUAAAGGGCGCGUAGGCGGCCUGCUAAGUCGAACGUGAAAUCCCCGGGCUCAACCCGGGAACUGCGUCCGAUACUGGCAGGCUUGAAUCCGGGAGAGGGAUGUGGAAUUCCAGGUGUAGCGGUGAAAUGCGUAGAUAUCUGGAGGAACACCGGUGGCGAAGGCGGCAUCCUGGACCGGUAUUGACGCUGAUGCGCGAAAGCCAGGGGAGCAAACGGGAUUAGAUACCCCGGUAGUCCUGGCCCUAAACGAUGAAUGCUUGGUGUGGCGGGUAUCGAUCCCUGCCGUGCCGAAGCUGACGCAUUAAG